This 269-nucleotide ribosomal RNA is filed under the name uncultured prokaryote. Its description in RNAcentral is "partial 16S ribosomal RNA". It matches the Rfam family "Bacterial small subunit ribosomal RNA", at positions 524 to 792 of the family's 1533-position model. The record is from RNAcentral.
UACGUAGGUGGCGAGCGUUGUCCGGAUUUACUGGGCGUAAAGGGAGCGUAGGCGGACUUUUAAGUGAGAUGUGAAAUACCCGGGCUCAACUUGGGUGCUGCAUUUCAAACUGGAAGUCUAGAGUGCAGGAGAGGAGAAUGGAAUUCCUAGUGUAGCGGUGAAAUGCGUAGAGAUCGGGAGGAACACCAGUGGCGAAGGCGGGUAACUGGACUGCAACUGACGCUGAGAAGCGAAAGCAUGGGGAGCGAACAGGAUUAGAUACCCGGGUA